RNAcentral lists this ribosomal RNA (465 nucleotides) under Vreelandella stevensii. RNAcentral's name for it is "partial 16S ribosomal RNA". It matches the Rfam family "Bacterial small subunit ribosomal RNA", at positions 338 to 795 of the family's 1533-position model. The record is from RNAcentral. Lineage: Bacteria; Pseudomonadati; Pseudomonadota; Gammaproteobacteria; Oceanospirillales; Halomonadaceae.
CCUACGGGCGGCAGCAGUGGGGAAUAUUGGACAAUGGGGGCAACCCUGAUCCAGCCAUGCCGCGUGUGUGAAGAAGGCCCUCGGGUUGUAAAGCACUUUCAGUGAGGAAGAACGCCUGGUGGUUAAUACCCAUCAGGAAAGACAUCACUCACAGAAGAAGCACCGGCUAACUCCGUGCCAGCAGCCGCGGUAAUACGGAGGGUGCGAGCGUUAAUCGGAAUUACUGGGCGUAAAGCGCGCGUAGGUGGCUUGAUAAGCCGGUUGUGAAAGCCCCGGGCUCAACCUGGGAACGGCAUCCGGAACUGUCAAGCUAGAGUGCAGGAGAGGAAGGUAGAAUUCCCGGUGUAGCGGUGAAAUGCGUAGAGAUCGGGAGGAAUACCAGUGGCGAAGGCGGCCUUCUGGACUGACACUGACACUGAGGUGCGAAGGCGUGGGUAGCAAACAGGAUUAGAUACCCCUGUAGUC